CAUUGAGCUGCAGGUCAUUCUUCUCUUGAAGAAGAGAAACCAUUUUCUCCUCUAGUUCCUUUCUACGAGCUUCAGAUUUUGCGUAAGCCUCUUUCAGCUUCAGGAAUUCUUCCUUCAUGCUGGCCAUCUCCUUUUCUGCUUCAGCAGAUCUCAAUAGAGGUUUGAUCUUAAAAAACAGCUUCAUCCAGGGCCAAUUCUUCACCCCCAUGAAGGCACGGAUGUUCCACUGGAUCACCAAUAGUGCAUCUCUGUCAAAGAGCAACCAAGACCUCUUGCUCUUGCCUGGAUUCCAGUUAUGAUCAGUGACAAACGUUCAUCUCUCAUCUCCUCCAACAGUCCAAGAAGACCAGCCUUGAAGAACACCUUAAGGAGCAUGAUCCUGUUGGGGAAGCCCUUUCUGCAGAUCCUGAUGCCUUCCAGCACACCAUUACAGCGCAGCUGGUGCAUUACCAGAGGGUUCUCCAUGGCCCCAGGAGUCUUGGUCUCAUUGGGGAUGAUGCAGCGUACAAAGUGAGGUCAGAGCAGUGACUUUGUCCCCGUCACGGCUGGUGAUGGAAGCCUUCACAUACUCCUCGUCAGUAUCAGGAACAAAGCACUCCUUCUUCAUGUCGAAGGCACGGGUCUGGGCCUCCAGACGCUCCCUGUCUGACUUCCUCAGAUGCUCUUACCUUACCAAUCCCUACCGCGGAGACUGGGUUGUGAUGGUCCUAAGGAAAUAAAUAACGGAAGCUGAUGAGACUAGUCUGCAGUCCACAUCAACAAAGAUCUCAACAACGGUUUGAUCUUGAAGAACAGCUUCAUCCAGGGCCAAUUCUUCACCCCCAUAAAUGAACGGACAUUCCAUUGGAUCACUAAUAAUGCUUCUCUGCGUUCCACCAUCUUCUGAUACUCAAUACGAGACAAAAGACCACGGGAUCUGGCUUGAAUACCAGUGAUGAUUUUGGAGAGACGCUCAUCUCUCAUCUCCUCAAGCAGACCCAGCAAACCAGCCUUGAAGAACACCUAACAACAC
Perca flavescens (yellow perch) is the source of this 1012-nucleotide long non-coding RNA. RefSeq lists it as uncharacterized. The transcript has 6 exons. The record is from RefSeq and is a predicted model, not a curated record. NCBI's taxonomy places the organism in Eukaryota, Metazoa, Chordata, Actinopteri, Perciformes, Percidae.